RNAcentral lists this ribosomal RNA (426 nucleotides) under uncultured bacterium. Its description in RNAcentral is "partial 16S ribosomal RNA". It matches the Rfam family "Bacterial small subunit ribosomal RNA", at positions 354 to 796 of the family's 1533-position model. The record is from RNAcentral.
GUGAGGAAUUUUCCGCAAUGGGCGAAAGCCUGACGGAGCAAUGCCGCGUGAAGGAUGAAGGCCUAUGGGUUGUAAACUUCUUUUCUCAGAAAAGAAUUAUGACGGUAUCUGAGGAAUAAGCAUCGGCUAACUCUGUGCCAGCAGCCGCGGUAAGACAGAGGAUGCAAGCGUUAUCCGGAAUGAUUGGGCGUAAAGCGUCUGUAGGUUGUUUAAAAAGUAUUCUGUCAAAGAUUAGGGCUUAACCCUAGAUAGGCAGAAUAAACUUUUAAGCUAGAGUUUGGUAGAGGCAGAGGGAAUUCCCGGUGGAGCGGUGAAAUGCGUAGAUAUCGGGAGGAACACCAAAGGCGAAGGCGCUCUGCUGGGCCAAUACUAACACUGAGAGACGAAAGCGAGGGGAGCAAAUGGGAUUAGAUACCCGAGUAGUCC